AAUCGAAGCUAAUACCGCAUAAUCCCGAGAGGGGAAAGCAGUAAUGCGCUGAAAGAGUAGUCCGCGGCUGAUUAGCUAGUUGGUGAGGUAAUGGCUCACCAAGGCGAUGAUCGGUAGCCGGCCUGAGAGGGCUCACGGCCACAUUGGCACUGAAACACGGGCCAGACUCCUACGGGAGGCAGCAGUCGGGAAUAUUGCACAAUGGGGGAAACCCUGAUGCAGCGACGCCGCGUGAGUGAUGAAGCCCUUCGGGGUGUAAAGCUCUUUCGACGGGAACGAUAAUGACGGUACCCGGAGAAGAAGCUGCGGCUAACUACGUGCCAGCAGCCGCGGUAAUACGUAGGCAGCAAGCGUUGUUCGGAAUUACUGGGCGUAAAGCGAGUGUAGGUGGUGCUAUAAGUUUGGUGUGAAAUCUCCCGGCUCAACUGGGAGGGUGCGCCGAAGACUGUAGUGCUAGAGUAUGGGAGAGGUAGGCGGAAUUCCUGGUGUAGCGGUGAAAUGCGUAGAUAUCAGGAGGAACACCUGCGGUGUAGACGGCUUACUGGACCAUGACUGACACUGAAACUCGAAAGUGUGGGGAGCAAACAGGAUUAGAUACCCUGGUAGUCCACACCCUAAACGAUGCAUACUUGGUGUGAGCGAUUCAUUUCGUUCGUGCCGGAGCUAACGCGUUAAGUAU
RNAcentral lists this ribosomal RNA (679 nucleotides) under uncultured Acidobacteriota bacterium. RNAcentral's name for it is "bacterial SSU rRNA". It matches the Rfam family "Bacterial small subunit ribosomal RNA", at positions 155 to 867 of the family's 1533-position model. Lineage: Bacteria; Pseudomonadati; Acidobacteriota. The record is from RNAcentral.